GACGAACGCUGGCGGCGUGCCUAACACAUGCAAGUCGAACGGAAAGGCCCUGCUUUUGUGGGGUGCUCGAGUGGCGAACGGGUGAGUAUCACGUGAGUAACCCGCCCUUGACUUUGGGAUAACUUCAGGAAACUGGGGCUAAUACCGGAUAGGAGCUCCUGCUGCAUGGUGGGGGUUGGAAAGUUUCGGCGGUUGGGGAUGGACUCGCGGCUUACCAGCUUGUUGGUGGGGUAGUGGCUUACCAAGGCUUCGACGGGUAGCCGGCCUGAGAGGGGGACCGGCGACAAUAGGACUGAGGGACGGACCAGAGUCGAACGGUAGGCAACGGGGGGGAGUCUUACACAAUGAGCGGGAGCCUGUGACGACAGCGCCGGGUUCGGAAAGACGGCCUUCGGGUUGUGAACCGCUUUCGCCUGUGACGAAGCGUGAGUGACGGUAACGGGUAAAGAAGCACCGGCUAACUACGUG
RNAcentral lists this ribosomal RNA (468 nucleotides) under uncultured bacterium. RNAcentral's name for it is "partial 16S ribosomal RNA". It matches the Rfam family "Bacterial small subunit ribosomal RNA", at positions 28 to 507 of the family's 1533-position model. The record is from RNAcentral.